UACGGGAGGCAGCAGUGGGGAAUAUUGCACAAUGGGCGCAAGCCUGAUGCAGCCAUGCCGCGUGUAUGAAGAAGGCCUUCGGGUUGUAAAGUACUUUCAGUCGUGAGGAAGGUGUUAAGGUUAAUAACCUUAGCAAUUGACGUUAGCGACAGAAGAAGCACCGGCUAACCCCGUGCCAGCAGCCGCGGUAAUACGGAGGGUGCGAGCGUUAAUCGGAAUUACUGGGCGUAAAGGGCACGCAGGCGGUUAAUUAAGUUGGAUGUGAAAUCCCCGGGCUUAACCUGGGAAUGGCAUUCAAGACUGGUUAGCUAGAGUCUUGUAGAGGGGGUAGAAUUCCAUGUGUAGCGGUGAAAUGCGUAGAGAUGUGGAGGAAUACCGGUGGCGAAGGCGGCCCCUGGACAAAGACUGACGCUCAUGUGCGAAAGCGUGGGGAGCAAACGAGGAUUAGGAUACC
This 454-nucleotide ribosomal RNA is filed under the name uncultured bacterium. Its description in RNAcentral is "bacterial SSU rRNA". It matches the Rfam family "Bacterial small subunit ribosomal RNA", at positions 340 to 786 of the family's 1533-position model. The record is from RNAcentral.